AGAGUUUGAUCCUGGCUCAGAUUGAACGCUGGCGGCAUGCCUUACACAUGCAAGUCGAACGGCAGCGGACCUUCGGGUGCCGGCGAGUGGCGAACGGGUGAGUAAUGUAUCGGAACGUACCUUUCAGUGGGGGAUAACGUAGCGAAAGUUACGCUAAUACCGCAUAUUCUGUGAGCAGGAAAGCAGGGGAACGCAAGACCUUGCGCUGAUUGAGCGGCCGAUAUCAGAUUAGCUAGUUGGUGAGGUAAAGGCUCACCAAGGCGACGAUCUGUAGCGGGUCUGAGAGGAUGAUCCGCCACACUGGAACUGAGACACGGUCCAGACUCCUACGGGAGGCAGCAGUGGGGAAUUUUGGACAAUGGGGGCAACCCUGAUCCAGCCAUGCCGCGUGAGUGAAGAAGGCCUUCGGGUUGUAAAGCUCUUUCGGCCGGGAAGAAAUCGCAUGGGUUAAUACCCUGUGCGGAUGACGGUACCGGCAUA
RNAcentral lists this ribosomal RNA (480 nucleotides) under uncultured bacterium. RNAcentral describes it as "bacterial SSU rRNA". It matches the Rfam family "Bacterial small subunit ribosomal RNA", at positions 8 to 485 of the family's 1533-position model. The record is from RNAcentral.